UACGUAGGGUGCGAGCGUUGUCCGGAAUUACUGGGCGUAAAGAGCUCGUAGGUGGUUUGUCGCGUUGUUCGUGAAAACUCACAACUCAAUUGUGGGCGUGCGGGCGAUACGGGCAGACUGGAGUACUGCAGGGGAGACUGGAAUUCCUGGUGUAGCGGUGGAAUGCGCAGAUAUCAGGAGGAACACCGGUGGCGAAGGCGGGUCUCUGGGCAGUAACUGACGCUGAGGCGCGAAAGCGUGGGGAGCGAACCGG
This 253-nucleotide ribosomal RNA is filed under the name uncultured bacterium. RNAcentral's name for it is "partial 16S ribosomal RNA". It matches the Rfam family "Bacterial small subunit ribosomal RNA", at positions 524 to 776 of the family's 1533-position model. The record is from RNAcentral.